Molecule: ribosomal RNA, 558 nt
Filed under: Dujonia railenensis
Lineage: Eukaryota; Fungi; Ascomycota; Pichiomycetes; Serinales; Debaryomycetaceae
Description: eukaryotic LSU rRNA
Rfam family: 5.8S ribosomal RNA (bases 178-329)
Source: RNAcentral
CCCCGCUCAAUUGCGCCGCGAAAAACCCUAACCCCAUGUUUUUUUAAUUUGAAACCAUUGCUUUGGUCCGGCUUAGAAAUAGGUUGGGCCCAAGGUUUUAUCCAAACCUCCAUAUUUAUUAUUGAAUUGUUAUUUUUAAUUUUAUGUCAAUUUGUUGAUUAAUAUCAAAAAUCUUCAAACUUUCACCAACGAUCUCUUGGUUCUCGCAUCGAUGAAGAACGCAGCGAAAUGCGAUAAGUAAUAUGAAUUGCAGAUUUUCGUGAAUCAUCCAAUCUUUGAACGCACUUGCGCCCUUUGGUAUUCCAAAGGGCAUGCCUGUUUGAGCGUCAUUUCUCUCUCAAAUCUUCGGAUUUGGUUUUGAGUGAUACUCUUAGUCAGACUAAGCGUUUGCUUGAAAUGUAUUGGCAUGAGUGGUACUAGAUAGUGCUGAACUGUUUUCAAUGUAUUAGGUUUAUCCAACUCAUUGACCAGUAAAGUAUUUGUUUAUUACACAGGCUCGGCCUUACAACAACAAACAAAGUUUGACCUCAAAUCAGGUAGGACUACCCGCUGAACUUA